Molecule: ribosomal RNA, 440 nt
Filed under: uncultured bacterium
Lineage: Bacteria
Description: partial 16S ribosomal RNA
Rfam family: Bacterial small subunit ribosomal RNA
Source: RNAcentral
CCUACGUGUGGCAGCAGUGGGGAAUAUUGCACAAUGGGGGAAACCCUGAUGCAGCGACGCAGCGUGAGUGAAGACGUAAUUCGUUAUGUAAAGCUCUAUCAGCAGGGGAGAAAAUGACGGUACCUGAGUAAGAAGCCCCGGCUAACUACGUGCCAGCAGCCGCGGUAAUACGUAGGGGGCAGGCGUUAUCCGGAUUUACUGGGUGUAAAGGGAGCGUAGACGGCAGUGCAAGUCUGGAGUGAAAGGCGGGGGCUCAACCCCCGGACUGCUAUGGAUACUGUACGACUUGAGUGCAGGAGAGGUAAGUGGAAUUCGUAGUGUAGCGGGGAAAUGCGUAGAUAUUAGGAGGAACACCAGUGGCGAAGGCGGCUUACUGAACUGUAACUGACGUUGAGGCUCGAAAGCGUGGGGAGCAAACAGGAUUAGAUACCCGAGUAGUC